RNAcentral lists this ribosomal RNA (302 nucleotides) under uncultured bacterium. RNAcentral describes it as "partial 16S ribosomal RNA". It matches the Rfam family "Bacterial small subunit ribosomal RNA", at positions 508 to 807 of the family's 1533-position model. The record is from RNAcentral.
GCAGUAGCCGCGGGAAUACGUAGGGUGCGAGCGUUAAUCGGAAUUACUGGGCGUAAAGCGUGCGCAGGCGGUUUGUUAAGACAGAUGUGAAAUCCCCGGGCUUAACCUGGGAACUGCAUUUGUGACUGGCCGGCUAGAGUAUGGCAGAGGGAGGUGGAAUUCCACGUGUAGCAGUGAAAUGCGUAGAUAUGUGGAGGAACACCGAUGGCGAAGGCAGCCUCCUGGGCCAAUACUGACGCUCAUGCACGAAAGCGUGGGGAGCAAACAGGAUUAGAUACCCCUGUAGUCCCUGUCUCUUAUAC